RNAcentral lists this ribosomal RNA (440 nucleotides) under uncultured bacterium. Its description in RNAcentral is "partial 16S ribosomal RNA". It matches the Rfam family "Bacterial small subunit ribosomal RNA", at positions 338 to 795 of the family's 1533-position model. The record is from RNAcentral.
CCUACGGGAGGCAGCAGUGGGGGAUAUUGCACAAUGGGGGGAACCCUGAUGCAGCGACGCCGCGUGGGUGAAGAAGCGCCUCGGCGCGUAAAGCCCUGUCAGCAGGGAAGAAAAUGACGGUACCUGAAGAAGAAGCCCCGGCUCACUACGUGCCAGCAGCCGCGGGAAUACGUAGGGGGCAAGCGUUAUCCGGAUUUACUGGGUGUAAAGGGGGCGCAGACGGCGAUGCAAGCCAGGAGUGAAAGCCCGGGGCCCAACCCCGGGACUGCUCUUGGAACUGCGUGGCUGGAGUGCAGGAGGGGCAGGCGGAAUUCCUGGUGUAGCGGUGAAAUGCGUAGAUAUCAGGAGGAACACCGGUGGCGAAGGCGGCCUGCUGGACUGUAACUGACACUGAGGCACGAAAGCGUGGGGAGCAAACAGGAUUAGAUACCCCAGUAGUC